This 842-nucleotide ribosomal RNA is filed under the name uncultured fungus. RNAcentral describes it as "eukaryotic LSU rRNA". The stretch from base 528 to 681 matches the Rfam family "5.8S ribosomal RNA". Lineage: Eukaryota; Fungi. The record is from RNAcentral.
AACAAGGUUUUGCUAAGCAACAGUCNUUCUGUAGCAGAGCUUAACGGAGACCUUGCGCCAGAAGGCGACUCUAAAUAAUCGGCAGCAAGUCAGUAUUACUGGCGACACAAUCGAACUGCGGGGAAGCUUUAAGGCUAGACGGUACCAACCGCUGGAACUCCCAGCGGGGCUAGCGUGUGCUAGAGGUCAGAACCCGUCGAGAUGUAACAAUAAGCAAUCCGCAGCGGCCUCCCUCGGGGGUCGUCCACAGACUAAGUGGUUGUGGGUAGGGCGAUCGUCCUAUCUAAGAUAUAGUCGGGCCUUGCGAGCGAUCGCAGGGGCUUCUGCGUCCGUAGGUGAACCUGCGGAAGGAUCAUUAAUCAGUGGAUCCGGCGGGGAACCCCCCCGCCGGGUAGACCUCCACCCGUGCUUACCUACUCUUGUUGCUUUGGCGGGCCGUGGCCUCCACUACGGGCUCUGUUCGUACGUGCCCGCCAGAGGACCAAACUCUGAAUUUUAGUGAUGUCUGAGUACUAUUUAAUAGUUAAAACUUUCAACAACGGAUCUCUUGGUUCUGGCAUCGAUGAAGAACGCAGCGAAAUGCGAUAAGUAAUGUGAAUUGCAGAAUUCAGUGAAUCAUCGAAUCUUUGAACGCACAUUGCGCCCUGUGGUAUUCCGCAGGGCAUGCCUGUUCGAGCGUCAUUUAGACCACUCACGCCUAGCGUGGUAUUGGGGCACGCGGUCCCGCGGCCCUCAAAAUCAGUGGCGGUGCCGGUAGGCCCUAAGCGUAGUAAAUCUCCUCGCUAUAGGGUCCUCUCGGUGGCUCGCCAGAACCCCCAACUUCUUAAGGUGACCUCGGAUCA